UUUUGUUGCUUGGUUAAAUUUUGUUACAUCUAUUCCUUUAAUAUUCAAUACUAGGAGUACUCUCCAUCUAUUGCUUGAGAAGCGUGCACUUGGGCUUGUGCCCAUCACCUGUCAUGAAGGCUUCUGUGAGAUCCCACAUCGAUUUAAAGGAGGGGAACGAAGCAUUUUUUAUAAGGGUGUGGAAAUCUCUUACUAGCAGAUGCGUUUUAAAAACUUUAAGGAGAAACCCGAAAGGGAAAGCUCAAAAAAAAAAAUAUCUGCUAGCGGUGGGAUUGGGUUGUUAUAGCUUCAACCCCCGAAUCACAUGAUUUAGGUUUGCAUAAACCAUGUUUUGAAGUUUCUUGUAGAUAUCUCAGUACACUUUUGAUUGCUGUAAUGUAGUGGGAUUCUACAAAUAUUGACUCAGUUUGCUAAUAAUGCAUGCAAUGCAAUUUCUGGGUGUGUAUUCUGGAGCCCCAAUUGCACUUAUAUAAACUAUAGGAUUAGUCAUUUACCUGACCAUCAUGUGCUGUACGAUUGGAGUAGGACAAGUCUUAAGAGUACAGAUCAUUCU
Molecule: long non-coding RNA, 553 nt
Organism: Cucurbita moschata (crookneck pumpkin)
Lineage: Eukaryota; Viridiplantae; Streptophyta; Magnoliopsida; Cucurbitales; Cucurbitaceae
Exons: 3
Source: RefSeq, a predicted model, not a curated record